Triticum aestivum (bread wheat) is the source of this 135-nucleotide non-coding RNA. NCBI's taxonomy places the organism in Eukaryota, Viridiplantae, Streptophyta, Magnoliopsida, Poales, Poaceae. The record is from Rfam.
CAACUACUCCCUCUGUCCCAAAUUUCUUGUCUUAGAUUUGUCUAGAUACGGAUGUAUCUAAUACUAAAAUGUGACUUGAUACAUCCGUAUCUAGACAAAUCUAAGACAAGAAUUUUGGGACGGAGGGAGUACUUC